AGUGAACGCUGGCGGCAGGCCUAACACAUGCAAGUCGAACGGCAGCACAGUAAGAGCUUGCUCUUACGGGUGGCGAGUGGCGGACGGGUGAGGAAUACAUCGGCAUCUACUUUUUCGUGGGGGAUAACGUAGGGAAACUUACGCUAAUACCGCAUACGACCUACGGGUGAAAGCAGGGGAUAUUCGGACCUUGCGCGAUAGAAUGAGCCGAUGUCGGAUUAGCUAGUUGGCGGGGUAAAGGCCCACCAAGGCGACGAUCCGUAGCUGGUCUGAGAGGAUGAUCGGCCACACUGGAACUGAGACACGGUCCAGACUACUACGGGAGGCAGCAGUGGGGAAUAUUGGGCAAUGGGCGCAAGCCUGAUCCAGCCAUACCGCGUGGGUGAAGAAGGCCUUCGGGUUGUGAAGCCCUUCUGUUGGGAAAGAACAGCAGCAGGUUGAUACCCCGCUGUUCUGACGGUACCCAAAGAAUAAGCACCGGCUAACUUCGUG
Molecule: ribosomal RNA, 492 nt
Filed under: uncultured bacterium
Lineage: Bacteria
Description: partial 16S ribosomal RNA
Rfam family: Bacterial small subunit ribosomal RNA
Source: RNAcentral